CGGUGGAGAGGAUCGAGCUGCGCGAGGAAACGAGGUACCGUACGGGACGACAGCCUUCCCUCGAGAAGAAUGAGAGAUUGCAUUGGCGGAGGUCGCUGCUCGAGCAAGCUGAAAUGUAUCUGAAUGGUACUAGACCGGUUUCCAGUGACCGAUAACAACCAACAGCUGCGUAAGUGGCUUUCGUUUACAACGAGCUCGUGUGCAAAAUGAUGUUUUCGCGUCGCAGCUUAUAUCGCAAAGUAGCCAACGAUCCCGGGUUCAUCCACACUUUGCCGGCGGACAGAUCGAACAAUAAAUUGGUCCGUGCGACGAUGACAACGGUCUGUCACUAAAUACGCCGAUCGUACAAGGGAUGCGAGAGAAGAGAGAAGACAAACACCUGUCGACCGUUUAUCAACAGCUACACAGUCGAAAUAUGAGUCUAAAUUUUUGGAAUUUCAACACUGAAUGCUGUAAUUCAUAUUAAUGUAAAUUUAUGUUAAAAUAAAAA
Non-coding RNA from Osmia lignaria (orchard mason bee), 490 nucleotides. The record is from RefSeq and is a predicted model, not a curated record. NCBI's taxonomy places the organism in Eukaryota, Metazoa, Arthropoda, Insecta, Hymenoptera, Megachilidae.